RNAcentral lists this ribosomal RNA (492 nucleotides) under uncultured bacterium. RNAcentral describes it as "partial 16S ribosomal RNA". It matches the Rfam family "Bacterial small subunit ribosomal RNA", at positions 29 to 507 of the family's 1533-position model. The record is from RNAcentral.
AGUGAACGCUGGCGGUAGGCCUAACACAUGCAAGUCGAACGGCAGCACAGUAAGAGCUUGCUCUUACGAGUGGCGCGUGGCGGACGGGUGAGAAAUACAUCGGAAUCUACUUUUUCGUGGGGGCUGACGUAGGGAAACUUACGCUAAUACCGCAUACGACCUACGGUUGAAAGCAGUGGAUAUUCGGACCUUGCGCGAUUGAAUGAGCCGAUUUCGGAUUAGCUAGUUGGCGGGGUAAAGGCCCACCAAGGCGACGAUCCGCAGCUGGCCUGAGAGGAUGAUGAGCCACACUGGAGAUGAGAGACGGUCAAGAGUCCUACGGGAGGCAGCAGUGGGGAAUAUUGGACAAUGGGCGGAAGAAUGAUCCAGCCAUACCGCGUGGGUGAAGAAGGACUUCUGGUUGUAAAGCCAAUUUGUUGGGAAAGAAAAGCAGCAGGUUAAUACACCACUGUUCUGACGGUACCCAAAGAAUAAGCACCGGCUAACUUCGUG